GCCCGCGUAGCUCAGUGGAUAGANNAGCAGUAGCCUUCUAAGCUAUUGGCCGCAGGUUCGAUUCCUGCCGCGGGUACCA
Molecule: transfer RNA, 79 nt
Filed under: Candidatus Peregrinibacteria bacterium
Lineage: Bacteria; Candidatus Peregrinibacteriota
Description: tRNA-Arg
Rfam family: tRNA
About the family: Transfer RNA (tRNA) molecules are approximately 80 nucleotides in length. Their secondary structure includes four short double-helical elements and three loops (D, anti-codon, and T loops). Further hydrogen bonds mediate the characteristic L-shaped molecular structure. tRNAs have two regions of fundamental functional importance: the anti-codon, which is responsible for specific mRNA codon recognition, and the 3' end, to which the tRNAs corresponding amino acid is attached (by aminoacyl-tRNA synthetases). tRNAs cope with the degeneracy of the genetic code in two manners: having more than one tRNA (with a specific anti-codon) for a particular amino acid; and 'wobble' base-pairing, i.e. permitting non-standard base-pairing at the 3rd anti-codon position.
Source: RNAcentral